This 253-nucleotide ribosomal RNA is filed under the name uncultured bacterium. Its description in RNAcentral is "partial 16S ribosomal RNA". It matches the Rfam family "Bacterial small subunit ribosomal RNA", at positions 524 to 776 of the family's 1533-position model. The record is from RNAcentral.
UACGGAGGGGGCUAGCGUUGUUCGGAAUCACUGGGCGUAAAGCGCGCGUAGGCGGUUUGUUAAGUCGGGGGUGAAAGCCCGAGGCUCAACCUAGGAACUGCCUUCGAUACUGCGGGUCUCGAGUCCGGGAGAGGUGAGUGGAAUUCCUAGUGUAGAGGUGAAAUUCGUAGAUAUUAGGAAGAACACCAGUGGCGAAGGCGGCUCACUGGCCCGGUACUGACGCUGAGGCGCGAAAGCGUGGGGAGCGAACAGG